AGAACGAACGCUGGCGGCAUGCCUAACACAUGCAAGUCGAACGGGACCUUCGGGUCUAGUGGCGCACGGGUGCGUAACGCGUGGGAAUCUGCCCUCAGGUACGGAAUAACUCAGGGAAACUUGAGCUAAUACCGUAUAAUGACUUCGGUCCAAAGAUUUAUCGCCUGAGGAUGAGCCCGCGUAGGAUUAGCUUGUUGGUGAGGUAAAAGCUCACCAAGGCGACGAUCCUUAGCUGGUCUGAGAGGAUGAUCAGCCACACUGGGACUGAGACACGGCCCAGACUCCUACGGGAGGCAGCAGUGGGGAAUAUUGGACAAUGGGCGAAAGCCUGAUCCAGCAAUGCCGCGUGAGUGAUGAAGGCCUUAGGGUUGUAAAGCUCUUUUACCCGGGAUGAUAAUGACAGUACCGGGAGAAUAAGCUCCGGCUAACUCCGUGCCAGCAGCCGC
This 446-nucleotide ribosomal RNA is filed under the name uncultured bacterium. RNAcentral describes it as "SSU rRNA". It matches the Rfam family "Bacterial small subunit ribosomal RNA", at positions 26 to 518 of the family's 1533-position model. The record is from RNAcentral.